This is a long non-coding RNA of Bactrocera latifrons, 441 nucleotides long. RefSeq lists it as uncharacterized. The transcript is spliced from 2 exons. NCBI's taxonomy places the organism in Eukaryota, Metazoa, Arthropoda, Insecta, Diptera, Tephritidae. The record is from RefSeq and is a predicted model, not a curated record.
AACAAAACGGCAGAUUCAAAUUAAGCGCUCGUUUUGAUCCGCUAAUAUAAGGGGAAUAUUUUAAUUUAUAUUUUAUUUUAUGUAAUUUACCAAGAAGUAAUUUACCGCAAGGACUACGAAGAUACCCGUCUACUUCACUCAAACACUAAUAUGCUACUCCAAAGCGAACAGUCUCAUGCUGACCAAAUGCCAAACUCAUCAAAUGACGAAGUUAUUCUCUAUAGCAUUCCCAAUCCAGCACUAGAGGAAGGAGUGUUCAAAAAUAUGAGAGAUACUGCUCACAGGCCGCAUAUUCAGAAGGACGCAAAUCGAAAAAGAGUUUCACAAUUAAUGAAGUUGCCACAAAGAAACACAAACAAGUCAAUUCAAAGAAAUUUCCGCAAAAUAUUGUCACCUCGAGGACACUUCUAAUCUUCAAAAUGAUCAAAUGACAAAUGAAAA